AUUGAACGCUGGCGGCAUGCCUUACACAUGCAAGUCGAACGGCAGCACAGGUGCUUGCACCUGGUGGCGAGUGGCGAACGGGUGAGUAAUACAUCGGAACAUGUCCUGUAGUGGGGGAUAGCCCGGCGAAAGCCGGAUUAAUACCGCAUACGAUCUACGGAUGAAAGCGGGGGACCUUCGGGCCUCGCGCUAUCGGGUUGGCCGAUGGCUGAUUAGCUAGUUGGUGGGGUAAAGGCCUACCAAGGCGACGAUCAGUAGCUGGUCUGAGAGGACGACCAGCCACACUGGGACUGAGACACGGCCCAGACUCCUACGGGAGGCAGCAGUGGGGAAUUUUGGACAAUGGGCGAAAGCCUGAUCCAGCAAUGCCGCGUGUGUGAAGAAGGCCUUCGGGUUGUAAAGCACUUUUGUCCGGAAAGAAAUCCUUGGCCCUAAUACGGUCGGGGGAUGACGGUACCGGAAGAAUAAGCACCGGCUAACUACGUG
This 486-nucleotide ribosomal RNA is filed under the name uncultured bacterium. RNAcentral describes it as "partial 16S ribosomal RNA". It matches the Rfam family "Bacterial small subunit ribosomal RNA", at positions 30 to 507 of the family's 1533-position model. The record is from RNAcentral.